GACGUAGGGGGCCAGCGUUGUUCGGAAUUACUGGGCGUAAAGGGUUCGUAGGCGGUGUAGCAAGUCGGGAGUGAAAUCUCUGGGCUUAACCCAGAGGCUGCUUCCGAAACUGCUGUGCUUGAGUGUGGGAGAGGCGCGUGGAAUUGCAGGUGUAGCGGUGAAAUGCGUAGAUAUCUGGAGGAACACCGGUGGCGAAGGCGGCAUUCUGGACUGCAACUGACACUGAGGAACGAAAGCCAGGGGAGCAAACGGG
RNAcentral lists this ribosomal RNA (253 nucleotides) under uncultured bacterium. RNAcentral describes it as "partial 16S ribosomal RNA". It matches the Rfam family "Bacterial small subunit ribosomal RNA", at positions 524 to 776 of the family's 1533-position model. The record is from RNAcentral.